AUUGAACGCUGGCGGAAUGCUUUACACAUGCAAGUCGAACGGCAGCACGGGGGCAACCCUGGUGGCGAGUGGCGAACGGGUGAGUAAUACAUCGGAACGUGCCCAGUCAUGGGGGAUAACGUAGCGAAAGUUACGCUAAUACCGCAUACGAUCUACGGAUGAAAGCGGGGGACCGUAAGGCCUCGCGCGAUUGGAGCGGCCGAUAUCAGAUUAGGUAGUUGGUGAGGUAAAGGCUCACCAAGCCGACGAUCUGUAGCUGGUCUGAGAGGACGACCAGCCACACGGGGACUAAGACACGGCCCAGACUCCUACGGGAGGCAGCAGUGGGGAAUUUUGGACAAUGGGCGCAAGCCUGAUCCAGCCAUUCCGCGUGCAGGACGAAGGCCUUCGGGUUGUAAACUGCUUUUGUACGGAACGAAAAGGCUCUGGUUAAUACCUGGGGCUCAUGACGGUACCGUAAGAAUAAGCACCGGCUAACUACGUGCCAGCAGCCGCAGUAA
Molecule: ribosomal RNA, 500 nt
Filed under: uncultured bacterium
Lineage: Bacteria
Description: partial 16S ribosomal RNA
Rfam family: Bacterial small subunit ribosomal RNA
Source: RNAcentral